This 253-nucleotide ribosomal RNA is filed under the name uncultured bacterium. RNAcentral describes it as "partial 16S ribosomal RNA". It matches the Rfam family "Bacterial small subunit ribosomal RNA", at positions 524 to 776 of the family's 1533-position model. The record is from RNAcentral.
UACGAAGGGGGCUAGCGUUGUUCGGAAUUACUGGGCGUAAAGAGCGCGCAGGCGGUCGUUCAAGUCGAGUGUGAAAGCCCCCGGCUCAACUGGGGAGGGUCAUUCGAUACUGAUCGACUCGAAGGCAGGAGAGGGUAGUGGAAUUCCCGGUGUAGUGGUGAAAUGCGUAGAUAUCGGGAGGAACACCAGUGGCGAAGGCGACUACCUGGCCUGUUCUUGACGCUGAGGCGCGAAAGCUAGGGGAGCAAACGGG